Molecule: long non-coding RNA, 1744 nt
Filed under: Macaca fascicularis (crab-eating macaque)
Lineage: Eukaryota; Metazoa; Chordata; Mammalia; Primates; Cercopithecidae
Description: lncRNA (ENSMFAG00000055291.1)
Source: RNAcentral
UGUGGCUGGAGCUCAAAGAGCUUGGGGGAGAGUGUCACACAGCAAAGUCAAAGAGAUGGGCAGGGUCAGCCCAUGUAGUGCCAUAGAAACACUUGGAAAGGAGUCUGUGCCUCUUAAAGAUCAUUCUGGCUACUAUGUGGAGAAUGGGUAUAUAAUAGUAAAUUAUGGGAAAAGUGCUCUUCCAUUUUAAAAAAGUGAUAAAGAGAAAAGCAAUCGUAUUUUGAGAAGAGAGACCCAAAUAAUGGAAACAUUUAACUGUGACUGAGGACUGGGAAGGAGAAGAAAACAGUUUGGCCUUUAAAAUGAGGUUCAGCUUUGUGGUUAGAGUUUCCUUGUUUGGCCAGCUCCACUGGUGCGGGACAGGGCUUCUUCCAAUGUGUUUUCUUGGCCUUCUCUUUCAGAAUAAACAAACAUGGUGUCUCCAAACUAUUCAAAGGGUCCCAGGUAUUCAGGGUGGCCCGAUCCAGACCACAGAAGCUUUCUCACAGGUCACAGCUUGGGCCCUGUUGCUAUAAACACAAGAUACAGGAGGCCCGAGCACGUCUGAACACCUCCCAGAGCUGUUUUCUAUGCCAUCCCAAGUCCUCAUGGACAAAUGAGGCUUAACCAUGGAGAAUAGAGCUUCAUGGGUAGGGCUAGCACCUCUGAUCUCAGAAACACUGGAAAAUGAGCAUGGUCAAGGCUGUUGGGAGCCCCACGAAUCACUGCUUGAGGGGGCUUGACAUGGGAUGGCUGGCAGUGCAGACAGGAGAUGAUAGUCGAGAGCCAACAGAGGAGUCUGUUGGACCCUCCAGCUGGCAGCAAAAAUGCCAACCCAAACCCCCAAGUCCAUUCAUAAAAUGGCUGCGAAGACAUUAAUCCUGAUUUUUAAAAAGAGAAAGACUUCAGCCUGAGCUGAGGGAAGCCGAUUCCUCCUCCUUUGCGGUUACGGGAUAGCUGCAAAAAAUUGUGAGAUUAUUCAAAAUUUGAUAGGCUGUGAGCAUAAAAAGAAAAAAGUCUCAAAUGCAUAACAACAAUUUUUAAAAGUAACAUCUACUCCUAAUAGCAAUGUUUUAUAUAAGAAUAGUAGGAUACCUUGUGUAAUGGGGGUGCCAAAAUCUCAGAAAUCACCAUGAGAUAACUUUUCCAUGCAACCAGAGCACCAAAAAAAGAAUAGAAGGAUAGUUCCAUAAUAUAACCAAAAAGCUUCCACAUGCACAUCAAAUGACUGCUGGCAUCACGCUCAAAGGGAAGACACUCAUGAGCAUUCCUGUGGCAUCAGAGGAAAGACAAAGGUGACUGGCAUUAGCUGCUUUUGUAUUAUCUUCUGGAAGUGCUAUCAAAGUCACUAAGAGAAUGAAAUAAGAAAUAUAAAUAUUAGGAAAAGAAACAAGAUCAUCAAUUUUUGCACAUUUUAUAAUCUUCUACCUAACGAAGAAAAAAACAAGAAAAUAAAUUUAAAAUCUGUUAGAGGCCAGGCGCGGUUGCUCACGCCCGUGAUCCCAGCACUUUGGGAGGCCAAGGCAGGCAAAUCACCUGAGGUCAGGAGUUCAAGACCAGCCUGGCCAACAUGGCGAAACCUCUACUAAAAAUACAAAAAUUAGCCGGGCCUGGUGGCAGGCACCUGUAAUCCCAGCUACUUGAGAGGCUGAGGCAGGAGAAUCGCUUGAGCCCAGGAGGCAGAGGUUGCAGUGAGCCAAGAUCACACCACUGCACUCCAGUCUGGGUGACAGAGCAAGACUCAGUCUCAAAAAAAAAAAAAAAA